Molecule: ribosomal RNA, 492 nt
Filed under: uncultured Sphingobacteriales bacterium
Lineage: Bacteria; Pseudomonadati; Bacteroidota; Sphingobacteriia; Sphingobacteriales
Description: bacterial SSU rRNA
Rfam family: Bacterial small subunit ribosomal RNA
Source: RNAcentral
GCCCGCUCAGAAACUCAAAGGAAUUGACGGGGCCCGCACAAGCGGAGGAGCAUGUGGUUAAUUCGAUGAUACGCGAGGAACCUUACCUGGGCUCGAACGUAAGAUGACUGUAGGUGAAAGCUUACAUCUCUUCGGAGCAUUUUACGAGGUGCUGCAUGGUUGUCGUCAGCUCGUGCCGUGAGGUGUCGGGUUAAGUCCCAUAACGAGCGCAACCCCUACCUUUAGUUGCCAUCAGGUUAAGCUGGGGACUCUAAAGGAACUGCCUACGCAAGUAGUGAGGAAGCGGGGAUGACGUCAAAUCAGCACGGCCCUUACGUCCAGGGCUACACACGUGCUACAAUGGCCGAUACAGAGGGCAGCUACCUGGUGACAGGAUGCAAAUCUCCAAAGUCGGUCUCAGUUCGGAUCGGAGUCUGCAACCCGACUCCGUGAAGUUGGAUUCGCUAGUAAUCGCGCAUCAGCCAUGGCGCGGUGAAUACGUUCCCGGGCCUU